This 903-nucleotide ribosomal RNA is filed under the name uncultured bacterium. RNAcentral describes it as "bacterial SSU rRNA". It matches the Rfam family "Bacterial small subunit ribosomal RNA", at positions 61 to 919 of the family's 1533-position model. The record is from RNAcentral.
GUCGAGCGCACUGGCCCAACUGAUCUGACGUGCUUGCACUGAAGUGACGAUGGAUUACCAGUGAGCGGCGGACGGGUGAGUAACACGUGGGCAACCUGCCCUGAAGCGGGGGAUAACAUUUGGAAACAGGUGCUAAUACCGCAUAACAACGAAAACCACAUGGUUUUCGUUUCAAAGAUGGUUUCGGCUAUCACUUCAGGAUGGGCCCGCGGUGCAUUAGCUUGUUGGUAGGGUAACGGCCUACCAAGGCAAUGAUGCAUAGCCGAGUUGAGAGACUGAUCGGCCACAAUGGAACUGAGACACGGUCCAUACUCCUACGGGAGGCAGCAGUAGGGAAUCUUCCACAAUGGGCGCAAGCCUGAUGGAGCGACACCGCGUGAGUGAAGAAGGGUUUCGGCUCGUAAAGCUCUGUUGUUGAAGAAGAACGUGCGUGAGAGUAACUGUUCACGCAGUGACGGUAUUCAACCAGAAAGUCACGGCUAACUACGUGCCAGCAGCCGCGGUAAUACGUAGGUGGCAAGCGUUAUCCGGAUUUAUUGGGCGUAAAGCGAGCGCAGGCGGUUGCUUAAGUCUGAUGUGAAAGCCUUCGGCUUAACCGAAGAAGUGCAUCGGAAACUGAGCGACUUGAGUGCAGAAGAGGACAGUGGAACUCCAUGUGUAGCGGUGGAAUGCGUAGAUAUAUGGAAGAACACCAGUGGCGAAGGCGGCUGUCUGGUCUGCAACUGACGCUGAGGCUCGAAAGCAUGGGUAGCGAACAGGAUUAGAUACCCUGGUAGUCCAUGCCGUAAACGAUGAGUGCUAGGUGUUGGAGGGUUUCCGCCCUUCAGUGCCGCAGCUAACGCAUUAAGCACUCCGCCUGGGGAGUACGACCGCAAGGUUGAAACUCAAAGGAAUUGACGGGGG